RNAcentral lists this ribosomal RNA (1306 nucleotides) under Salmonella enterica. Its description in RNAcentral is "bacterial LSU rRNA". It matches the Rfam family "Bacterial large subunit ribosomal RNA", at positions 1640 to 2925 of the family's 2925-position model. Lineage: Bacteria; Pseudomonadati; Pseudomonadota; Gammaproteobacteria; Enterobacterales; Enterobacteriaceae. The record is from RNAcentral. RNAcentral also lists the same sequence under 2 other names.
AAUCGUACCCCAAACCGACACAGGUGGUCAGGUAGAGAAUACCAAGGCGCUUGAGAGAACUCGGGUGAAGGAACUAGGCAAAAUGGUGCCGUAACUUCGGGAGAAGGCACGCUGACACGUAGGUGAAGUGAUUUACUCAUGGAGCUGAAGUCAGUCGAAGAUACCAGCUGGCUGCAACUGUUUAUUAAAAACACAGCACUGUGCAAACACGAAAGUGGACGUAUACGGUGUGACGCCUGCCCGGUGCCGGAAGGUUAAUUGAUGGGGUCAGCGCAAGCGAAGCUCCUGAUCGAAGCCCCGGUAAACGGCGGCCGUAACUAUAACGGUCCUAAGGUAGCGAAAUUCCUUGUCGGGUAAGUUCCGACCUGCACGAAUGGCGUAAUGAUGGCCAGGCUGUCUCCACCCGAGACUCAGUGAAAUUGAACUCGCUGUGAAGAUGCAGUGUACCCGCGGCAAGACGGAAAGACCCCGUGAACCUUUACUAUAGCUUGACACUGAACAUUGAGCCUUGAUGUGUAGGAUAGGUGGGAGGCUUUGAAGUGUGGACGCCAGUCUGCAUGGAGCCGACCUUGAAAUACCACCCUUUAAUGUUUGAUGUUCUAACGUGGACCCGUAAUCCGGGUUGCGGACAGUGUCUGGUGGGUAGUUUGACUGGGGCGGUCUCCUCCUAAAGAGUAACGGAGGAGCACGAAGGUUGGCUAAUCCUGGUCGGACAUCAGGAGGUUAGUGCAAUGGCAUAAGCCAGCUUGACUGCGAGCGUGACGGCGCGAGCAGGUGCGAAAGCAGGUCAUAGUGAUCCGGUGGUUCUGAAUGGAAGGGCCAUCGCUCAACGGAUAAAAGGUACUCCGGGGAUAACAGGCUGAUACCGCCCAAGAGUUCAUAUCGACGGCGGUGUUUGGCACCUCGAUGUCGGCUCAUCACAUCCUGGGGCUGAAGUAGGUCCCAAGGGUAUGGCUGUUCGCCAUUUAAAGUGGUACGCGAGCUGGGUUUAGAACGUCGUGAGACAGUUCGGUCCCUAUCUGCCGUGGGCGCUGGAGAACUGAGGGGGGCUGCUCCUAGUACGAGAGGACCGGAGUGGACGCAUCACUGGUGUUCGGGUUGUCAUGCCAAUGGCACUGCCCGGUAGCUAAAUGCGGAAGAGAUAAGUGCUGAAAGCAUCUAAGCACGAAACUUGCCCCGAGAUGAGUUCUCCCUGAGACUUAGAGUCUCCUGAAGGAACGUUGAAGACGACGACGUUGAUAGGCCGGGUGUGUAAGCGCAGCGAUGCGUUGAGCUAACCGGUACUAAUGAACCGUGAGGCUUAACC